CAUUCCUACGGGACGCAGCAGUAGGGAAUCUUCCACAAUGGGCGAAAGCCUGAUGGAGCAACGCCGCGUGGGUGAAGAAGGUCUUCGGAUCGUAAAACCCUGUUGUUAGAGAAGAAAGUGCGUGAGAGUAACUGUUCACGUUUCGACGGUAUCUAACCAGAAAGCCACGGCUAACUACGUGCCAGCAGCCGCGGUAAUACGUAGGUGGCAAGCGUUAUCCGGAUUUAUUGUGCGUAAAGGGAACGCAGGCGGCUUUUUAUGUCUGAUGUGCAAGCCUUCGCCUUAACCGGGGUAGUGCAUUGGUA
This 305-nucleotide ribosomal RNA is filed under the name uncultured bacterium. RNAcentral's name for it is "bacterial SSU rRNA". It matches the Rfam family "Bacterial small subunit ribosomal RNA", at positions 334 to 631 of the family's 1533-position model. The record is from RNAcentral.